Molecule: long non-coding RNA, 465 nt
Filed under: Mytilus galloprovincialis (Mediterranean mussel)
Lineage: Eukaryota; Metazoa; Mollusca; Bivalvia; Mytilida; Mytilidae
Source: RNAcentral
UGGCUAAUUUGGAUCGAAGCGAUUCGAUGACAUUUUAUAGGAGUUAUCUACCUUUACAAAAUAAAUUUGUCGGUAUGUUUUUUUAACUCAUAAACAGUUAACCGUAUAACCCUGGAAUGUUUUUAUUUGCGGCCCCUAGGUCCUAACUUAGAAAAUGAGGUCAAGGUCAAAGGUCAAGGUCAAGUUCUCAAUUGUGACUUUUGCUUGUUUUUGCAUUUUCUCCAACACUUUGAAAGAUACAUAUAAAAGAACAAGUGCAAAAUGUUUGCUUCAUUGUAAUGAAGAUAUGCUACAUUUAGUCUUAUACAAUUUAAUGGCAUCUUAUAGGAGUUGGUGCCCCUGAAAUGUCAUGAUAUGAGGUUAUUUGAUUAUAACUUCAACUAAGUUCAUUAUAAAGGCAUUUGACCUUUUACAAAAGGUUAGGUGACAAAUGACCUUGAAAAAUGACUACCGGAAGUGACCUUG